UACGUAGGUGGCAAGCGUUGUCCGGAUUUAUUGGGCGUAAGCGCGCGCAGGUGGUGCGGUAAGUCUGCCGUGAAAUCUCCCGGCUCAACUGGGAGGGGGCGGUGGAGACUGCCGGACUGGAGGGACUCAGAGGCCGGUGGAAUUCCCGGUGUAGUGGUGAAAUGCGUAGAGAUCGGGAGGAACACCAGUGGCGAAGGCGGCCGGCUGGGGGUGCCCUGACGCUGA
Molecule: ribosomal RNA, 225 nt
Filed under: uncultured bacterium
Lineage: Bacteria
Description: partial 16S ribosomal RNA
Rfam family: Bacterial small subunit ribosomal RNA
Source: RNAcentral